This 356-nucleotide RNase P RNA is filed under the name Candidatus Saccharimonadota bacterium. Its description in RNAcentral is "RNase P RNA component class A". It matches the Rfam family "Bacterial RNase P class A". From Rfam's summary of the family: Ribonuclease P (RNase P) is a ubiquitous endoribonuclease, found in archaea, bacteria and eukarya as well as chloroplasts and mitochondria. Its best characterised activity is the generation of mature 5'-ends of tRNAs by cleaving the 5'-leader elements of precursor-tRNAs. The record is from RNAcentral. Lineage: Bacteria; Candidatus Saccharimonadota.
GUAGUACGCUAGACAAUCGCUGGUAUGAUCUUUUAGAAAGUACGAGAGGAAAGUCCGGGCAGCAAAGAGUAGGACAGUUGCUAACGGCAACCGGGGGCGACCCUAGGGAAAGUGCAAAAGUGCCACAGAAACGAUACCGCCUGUCUUUAUAGAUAGGUAAGGGUGAAACGAGCGAGGUAAGAGCUCGCAGCGAUACGUGGUGACGCGUAGAGGAGGUAAACCCUGUCCGCUGCAAGGAGAUGCACCACUAUAGCUACUCGCUAGGUGUAUCGGUAUCCGCUUGAACAAAUUGGCAACAAUUUGUCUAGAUAGAUGAUUGUCGACAACAGAACCCGGCUUACAGGCGUACUAUUAUU